This 440-nucleotide ribosomal RNA is filed under the name uncultured bacterium. Its description in RNAcentral is "partial 16S ribosomal RNA". It matches the Rfam family "Bacterial small subunit ribosomal RNA", at positions 338 to 795 of the family's 1533-position model. The record is from RNAcentral.
CCUACGGGUGGCAGCAGUGGGGAAUAUUGGACAAUGGGGGGAACCCUGAUCCAGCGACGCCGCGUGAGUGAAGAAGUAUUUCGGUAUGUAAAGCUCUAUCAGCAGGGAAGAAAAUGACGGUACCUGACUAAGAAGCCCCGGCUAACUACGUGCCAGCAGCCGCGGUAAUACGUAGGGGGCAAGCGUUAUCCGGAUUUACUGGGUGUAAAGGGAGCGUAGACGGUGCCGCAAGUCUGAUGUGAAAGGUCGGGGCCCAAACCCGGGACUGGAUGUGAAACUGUGUAACGGGAGUACAGGGGAGGUAAGCGGAAGUCCUAGUGUAGGGGGGAAAUGCGGAGAGAUAAGGUGGAACGCCAGUGGCGAAGGCGGCUGACUGGACUGAAACUGACGGUGAGGCUCGAAGGCGUGGGGAGCAAACAGGAGUAGAUACCCCGGUAGUC